Molecule: long non-coding RNA, 457 nt
Filed under: Falco tinnunculus (common kestrel)
Lineage: Eukaryota; Metazoa; Chordata; Aves; Falconiformes; Falconidae
Description: lncRNA (ENSFTIG00000014714.1)
Rfam family: U5 spliceosomal RNA (bases 162-276)
Source: RNAcentral
GCUCGCGCGGGGCCGCUCGGGUCCGGACGCGGGGCCGUACCGGUGUGCGCCGCCUGGGGCCCGGCCGGCGCGGCGGGGGAACGAGCUGGGGGCGGCGAGGGUCGCCGUGACCUGUAGAGCGCCAGCCGGGGGUGGGUACAUGUGCGGGGGCAGCAGCAGCCAUACUCUGGUUUCUCUUCAAAUCGUAUAAAUCUUUCGCCUUUUACUAAAGAUUUCCGUGGAGGGGAACAAGCACGAGUGUCAGGGAAUUUUUUGAGGCUCCAUUUCGGUGGAGCUGUCUCUGCGCUAGUGAAAGAUAGAACGAAUGAACCGACCCAACCAGACUUUGUCUGAGGGAGCCUGUGCUGGCGUACGUUAAGCAGGCAGCUGCUGCAAAAGUUAUUGGGGGAUGAUGGCCUGUCUCAUUGCAGCGUAUUAGCCAAGGAGUUAGCAGAAGUGGCUGAAGACCUGAUCCAGC